AACGAACGCUGGCGGCGUGCCUAAUACAUGCAAGUCGAACGCAGUGGGGCCGGGUUAGUAACACGUGGGUAACCUCCCAUCAGAGGGGAUAACACUUGGCAACAGGUGCUAAACCGCUACUGAUGGAUGGACCCGCUGUGCAUUAGCCAGUUGGUGACGUAACGGCUCACCAAGGCCACGAUGCAUAGCCGACCUGAGAGGUUGAUCGGCCACACUGGGACUGAGACACGGCCCAGACUCCUACGGGAGGCAGCAGUGGGUAAUCUUCGGCAAUGGACGAAAGUCGGAUCGAGCAACGCCGCGUGAGUGAAGAAGGUUUUCGGAUCGUAAAGCUCUGUUGUUAGAGAAGCGGUAUCUAACCAGAAAGCCACGGCUAACUACGUGCCAGCAGCCGCGGUAAUUC
Molecule: ribosomal RNA, 403 nt
Filed under: uncultured bacterium
Lineage: Bacteria
Description: partial 16S ribosomal RNA
Rfam family: Bacterial small subunit ribosomal RNA
Source: RNAcentral